GAUUUUUUCAUUUCUUUAAGCUACUUGUGUGUUGAGAUUUGUGGUUCCAGGAGCCUGAAGCAUCCAGAUGCUGCAGUCCUCAGACCCCUGCCACCUACCAGAGGUAACCCCUGGUGGAGCUCACCUUGAUGAUGAUUCUGAAUCACUGACGGUUUCCAUAGGAACCAAAAAGCCACAUACAGACUUUUGGCUUGGAGAACCAAAGCCGAGAGUAAGGAGGUGCUGGGAGCCACACAGUGAGUAAAACAAGUGGACUGCAACAGAGGGAUCCAGGAGCUCACGUUCCCACAUACCGACCAGGAGCGGUGCACAGGGCUGGGGUGGCAGGGAGGACAGCAACCAUGAAGAAGCAUGCACGAUCCCUCCAGGCAAGUCCCCUCCCUGCCACCACCGGUGCCACUCUGAGCUUCAGUUUGGGCUAAUACCAACACGGCCCAGGGGUAAGGGGACAGGACAGGAAUGCACGGGGCCACGCAGUUAAGGCAAGUCAUCCUGCCCUCCUCCUGCCUGAAUUCUUGACAACAUCCCCGCCCUCUGAAACAUCUGGUCCUCCUGGCCUAGGACGUGUCACCCCUGGCUUUCUCCCUCAGCCCUGCUCAUCUUCCUUUCCAGCCCCCAGAUGCUGACAACUCACAGCCCCCUCCUCUACCUCCACAGAGUCCUCUGACACUCCCCACUUAGUACAGAGAUUUCCUCUGCCCUCUGGGACCAUUUAACGAACUGAGUGCUGGCCUCUCUUUCUGGAACAUUCACAGGCCCUGGGCACCCGACCACAUCUAAAUCUUAACUCGUGCUCUUCAUUCUCAAACCAGGUCCCACUAAAUCACAGCUAAAAGUUACUAAGAGCUGACUGUGUGCAGUUAAGCACCUCCUGUGAGUUAGCUCAUUUAAUCCUUGAAAUAAACAUCUGUGAGAGACAUUCCCUGUGUGCAGCUGAUAGUGGAGAAUGACACAGACUCAACCUCCACGAGGUCACAGAGCUGGGAAGGGAAGGAGCUUGGAUGCUAACCCUGCCAAGCUGUGUUCUUGAUAAUUACACAAUACUGCUUUCAGAAUCUCAGGGAAGGCGACCCGCCACCUGGGCGUCAUCCUUGACUUGCUUCUUGCCCGCACCUUCCAGUCCCACUUUAUCACCAAGUCCAGUGGGUUUUGUCUCCUGAGCAUCGUUCCAAGUCCAGCCUCUUUAACAGCACCAUCACCACCCUCGCCAACCUGCAGCUCGCAAACUGGGUCAGGACCUACCCGGGGUCCACUCCUGCGCCCUCACGUAGGACGCUGACCGUCUCCAGCUCUCCAGGGGGUGCCCCCUGCCAGGGAGGACUGCCACUCUGAGCGCGCUCAUCAUCGGUGACACGGCUCUGCUCUAUUACCAAACUACAGAAAUGGAGUCAUGUGCCUCAUAUGCCCUUGCUGCUGCAUUCUGACCACAGGGCCUUGAAACAUGCUGCUGCCUCUGCUAGGCUGGGGUGCGGAGUCAUUUGGCCAAGGUACCAUACUGGUGUGUGGACGACUGUAUACACAUCCAGACUGCAUCUGUCUUACUCAGAGCUUGUGCCCUUCACCAGGAAACAUACUGCUUUAAAGUUCAUGGCCUGCAGAACUCAGGAAUGACUAACAACCUCUGGAAUUCUAAGUACAAAUAAUUGUACAUCCAUCAGUUCCUGUGAUGGUAACUAUCUGAAGAUCUUCAGGUCUUUUAGAACCAUCUUGGUCUUUCAGAUAGGUCCAGCUUUACAAAAUUUCUCUAGUUCAAAUUCAAGCUUGAUUUCUUUGCUAAUGUGAGAUCUGAAUUUAUAAAGAUUGCACAUGGAGUCCUGGCUCCUCCACCCUGUAGCUGCGUGAUCUUGCCUUACAUAAGCCUCUUAGAUCCGGUUCCCUGGGGGCAAAAUGCAGAUGAUGGCCCCCCAAAGUUACUGUGGAUCAAUCACAUCCUCCACCUUGCUAUCUUGCCAUCAAAUGCAUGCCCAACAUUCUGAAUGAAUAAGAGUGGGCUGUAACUGAUGAGCCCCCGUACAACCUGAGGGCUGAGCCAGGAACUGUGGUGGUGGCUUCCAAGACAAGGCACAGAGCCUGUGCUCACGGAGAAUUACAGUGCCCCUGGGGAGUUAAAAAAAAGAUCUAUCUAGAUCCUUAAAGAAUCUUAUACGAUGCCCAGUGGGAUAAGCCGAUUAAGGAGAAGCAUCUAGAUGGUAGACAACUGCCACCCCGUGUCUGCAACUUCCCAAGUCUGAGCUCUGGGGACAGAACUGAGUGGCCUCUGUCCCCACCUCGCUCCUACAGAUGGGAUGAGAGACCCAGGGACAACUAAGCCCCACACAGCUGCAUCGACUUAGGGGAAGUGGGAGCAUGCAACUUUUAACAGCUUGACGAUGGGGAGACUGGAGCCUGUCAAAGCAAAGAGACUCUAAAGACCAAUAAACACGGUGCAAAUAAUUCCAAGAAUCCUUAUGGUUCUCAGCAGAAAAAAGCCUCACGCGAAAAUGAGUGUUGUCAGACUUGGGAGUGUGGUUUCUAUACUCAGCACUGGUUUUAAUUUGUUUUUUCCUAGCUUUAUUUACGUGCAACUGACAUAUAAACAGUGUUGGCCCUCACACUACAGUUUGAAACUGUUUGGGAAGUAAGAGUGAAGAGAAGCUCCAAAGAAUUUAUGCAAAAAAGAAAAAAAAUUAGUUAAGGGCGGAGGAGGGGUGGGGGAGACAAGCCUCUGACUGGCGGCCUGGCAAAGCAUGGGUGACAUGUCUUCAAUGAUGAAACUCCCAGGAAAAAUCAAAUCCAUGUGCUUGUGGAAGAGGGGAACGGAAAAGCCUGUCCAGUGUGAAGGGGUUCACUCUCCUAAGACGUUUUUGUCAACGCUUCAUUUUAGGCAAGAAAGUGACAUAAAGUACAUAAGGAGACUCCCUGUGGCUUCCUUUUCCCAAGAGUUCCACACAAAUGAGCCCUGCCAUCCAUUGGCCGAAACAGACGAUAAUGUAAGCAAAGGCAGGAGGCAUUUUCCCCUUACUUUCGCUGAGCGCCCAAGCCAUUGCCGUUGGAACUCUGUGCCAAACUCGGGUUUUUUUUUAAAGGCGUCACUUGAGUUUUAAAGGCUACGUAAGUGAUGGGAACAUAACCGUCUUGGGAAUCCACAAAUAACUUUUUAAAAAGUCAUAAAUCUGCAUCUCAUGCCUCAUAGUUUUCAACAACUGCGAGAAAUAGGUCAAAGCUCGAGCUCCGUAGGUUCCUUCCCUCUUCAGCGGUUGGAGCUAGUGGCCCUGGGCCUUUUCCACGUGCUUCCACAGUAAAUACCUAGGCCCUCCAGCCACACUUGGACCUGAACUGCUUUUCGGUCUCAUUUUUCAAAAAUCAUGAUAAAACACCCUUGGAAAUAG
Long non-coding RNA from Mirounga angustirostris (Northern elephant seal), 3368 nucleotides. RefSeq lists it as uncharacterized. Lineage: Eukaryota; Metazoa; Chordata; Mammalia; Carnivora; Phocidae. The record is from RefSeq and is a predicted model, not a curated record. The transcript is spliced from 6 exons.